CCUACGGGUGGCUGCAGUGGGGAAUAUUGGACAAUGGGCGAAAGCCUGAUCCAGCCAUGCCGCGUGUGUGAAGAAGGCCUUCGGGUUGUAAAGCACUUUCAGUGGGGAAGAAAGCCUUGGGGCUAAUACCCUCGAGGAAGGACAUCACCCACAGAAGAAGCACCGGCUAACUCCGUGCCAGCAGCCGCGGUAAUACGGAGGGUGCGAGCGUUAAUCGGAAUUACUGGGCGUAAAGCGCGCGCAGGCGGUCUGAUAAGCCGGUUGUGAAAGCCCCGGGCUCAACCUGGGAACGGCAUCCGGAACUGUCAGGCUAGAGUGCAGGAGAGGAAGGUAGAAUUCCAGGUGUAGCGGUGAAAUGCGUAGAGAUCGGGAGGAAUACCAGUGGCGAAGGCGGCCUUCUGGACUGUCACUGACGCUGAGGUGCGAAAGCGUGGGUAGCAAACAGGAUUAGAUACCCGAGUAGUC
This 465-nucleotide ribosomal RNA is filed under the name Vreelandella stevensii. RNAcentral describes it as "partial 16S ribosomal RNA". It matches the Rfam family "Bacterial small subunit ribosomal RNA", at positions 338 to 795 of the family's 1533-position model. The record is from RNAcentral. Lineage: Bacteria; Pseudomonadati; Pseudomonadota; Gammaproteobacteria; Oceanospirillales; Halomonadaceae.